RNAcentral lists this transfer RNA (87 nucleotides) under Oscillospiraceae bacterium. Its description in RNAcentral is "tRNA-Leu". It matches the Rfam family "tRNA". Rfam says of the family: Transfer RNA (tRNA) molecules are approximately 80 nucleotides in length. Their secondary structure includes four short double-helical elements and three loops (D, anti-codon, and T loops). Further hydrogen bonds mediate the characteristic L-shaped molecular structure. tRNAs have two regions of fundamental functional importance: the anti-codon, which is responsible for specific mRNA codon recognition, and the 3' end, to which the tRNAs corresponding amino acid is attached (by aminoacyl-tRNA synthetases). tRNAs cope with the degeneracy of the genetic code in two manners: having more than one tRNA (with a specific anti-codon) for a particular amino acid; and 'wobble' base-pairing, i.e. permitting non-standard base-pairing at the 3rd anti-codon position. Lineage: Bacteria; Bacillati; Bacillota; Clostridia; Eubacteriales; Oscillospiraceae. The record is from RNAcentral.
GCAGGGGUGGCGGAAUAGGCAGACGCGCAAGCUUGAGGUGCUUGUGAGAGCAAUCUUGUGUGGGUUCAAGUCCCAUCUCCUGCACCA